UACGUAGGGUGCGAGCGUUAAUCGGAAUUACUGGGCGUAAAGCGUGCGCAGGCGGUUUUGUAAGUCAGAUGUGAAAUCCCCGGGCUUAACCUGGGAAUGGCAUUUGAGACUGCAAGGCUGGAGUACGGCAGAGGAGACUGGAAUUCCUGGUGUAGCAGUGAAAUGCGUAGAGAUCAGGAGGAAUACCGAUGGCUAAGGCAGCUCUCUGGGCUGAUACUGACGCUCAUGCACGAAAGCAUGGGGAGCGAACAGG
This 253-nucleotide ribosomal RNA is filed under the name uncultured bacterium. RNAcentral's name for it is "partial 16S ribosomal RNA". It matches the Rfam family "Bacterial small subunit ribosomal RNA", at positions 524 to 776 of the family's 1533-position model. The record is from RNAcentral.